This 66-nucleotide transfer RNA is filed under the name Nauphoeta cinerea (gray cockroach). RNAcentral's name for it is "tRNA-Ser". The record is from RNAcentral. Lineage: Eukaryota; Metazoa; Arthropoda; Insecta; Blattodea; Blaberidae.
AGUUAAUUACAAUGAUGUAAUGUGUUUUGAAAUCACAUUUUAGAGGUUUAACUCCUCUAUUAACUU